Molecule: transfer RNA, 67 nt
Filed under: Zygaena fraxini fraxini
Lineage: Eukaryota; Metazoa; Arthropoda; Insecta; Lepidoptera; Zygaenidae
Description: transfer RNA-Val (GUN)
Source: RNAcentral
CAAAUUAAAGUUUUUUAUAAAUAUUUCAUUUACAUUGAAAAGAAAUUGAUUUUAUCAUUUAAUUUGA